AAUUCUUUUUGACAAAAAGGUUGCUUUCCCCGACUUGGAGAAGUUGCAUAUUAGGUUCUUUCCUAAGUUGAAAAUGAUAUGGCGUGAUCAUAUCCAAGCAAAUUCAUUCUGCAAGUUAGAAUUACUGGAGGUAGUAGCUUGCGAAGAGUUACUGCAAAUCUUUCCCUCCAACAUUCUGAGAGGAUUCCAGAAAUUAGAAUGUCUAUGUGUAGCGAAUUGUGGUUCACUAAAAGAGGUGUUUGAUCUUCAACUGUCGACAAACGUAAAAGAGAUGCAUGUUGAAGCGGCAGCCACUAAAUUGAGGAUUUUGAAAUUAAUGAACCUCCCAGUUAUGAAGCAUGUAUGGAAUGAGGAUUCUCCAAAAAUUCUCUUGUUUGCUAACCUAAGUUCAGUGGAUGUUUCCACAUGUCCUAGUCUGAAUAGUCUCUUUCCACCUUCAAUUGCAAGAAAUCUUCCACAACUUGAAAGGAUUUCUAUUGUUGAUUGUGGGUUGGAGGAAAUUGUUUCAAAUGAGGAAGGAUUAGAAGCAACUCCUAAGUUUGUGUUUCAUCAAUUGACGUCCUUGAAACUUUGGAGAUUACAAAAAUUAAAGAGCUUCUACCCUGGAAUACAUGCUUUUGAAUGUCCCAUACUGAAGUGCUUGAGAGUGGGUCACUGUGACAAUUUUAAGAUUUUUGCUUCUCAAUUUCAGGAGUUGCAAGAAACGCAAGUGGAGAUUCAACCUUUAAGAAAGGUUUUUUCCAACUUGGAGGAAUUAACAUUAAGCAGCAAGGAGAUCACAAUGAUAUGGCAAGGCCAGUUUGAAGACCGCUUUGACAAACUAAAAGUUCUUGGCCUAUAUUGCUUUCAUGAUGCUUCAACAGAUUUCCCAUUCAAUCUCCUUCAAAAAUUCCCAAACACGGAAAAACUUCAUGUGGUAUGCUCUGAUUUUAAUGAGAUAUUCCCAUAUGGUGUUGUUGGUGAAGAGAUGCAUGCAAGGACUUUUGCACGGAUACGAUACUUAAGACUGGAUGUCUUUCCCAAAAUGAAGCAUAUAUGGAAUCCUGAAUAUCGACAUGUCCAAGUUCUUCAAAAUCUUGAGUCCCUGGAAAUAUGGAAUUGCAACAGUUUGGUUACCUUGGCGCCACAUUCUGCAUCUUUCCAAAAUCUUACUACUCUAGAUGUGUGGCGGUGUGAAAUAUUAGUAAACAUAAUAACAUCCUGCACAGCUAAAGGGAUGGUGAACCUUACCAAAAUGAGUGUAAGAGAAUGCAAUAAGGUAACGGAAAUUGUAGUGAAUGGUGGAGAUGAAGAUCAACAACAAAGUGAGAUCAUUUUCGGUAAAUUGAAAAGUAUAAGGCUUCAUUGUUUAGAAAGCCUCACCAGCUUCUGCUCAGUGGCAAAUUGCACCAUCAAAUUCCUAUCUUUGGUAGAAUUGUCUAUUAAACAUUGUCACAAGUUGAGUACUUUUGCUCAGGGAGUUGUAAGCGCACCAAGGCUACCACAAGCAUUUGUAAAGGAAGGAGAAAGAGGUAAAAUGAUUUGGAAGAAGGAUAUUAACAACACAAUAAAUCACUUGCAUAGAGAAAGGGUACGUAUCCUUUCAUCAAAUUUGUUUUUCUUUAUGAACUUUUAAAUUCUUAUUUGUUUGGCAAGUAGCCAAAAACAAUGCAACCAAUACGUUCUUACAUCUUCAGUUCUUCACUCCAACUCUUUCGAAUAAAAAGUAAUGAGUAUAUUAUCCAAUAGGCUUUCUGAUAUAUAAAUGAUAAUAUUUUCCUCUUAGAAAUUGAAUUUAAUUGGUUUUGCUUAGAUUUUUCUCAUGCGGGACACCGUUCUCUAUGUAUUUUGUGCUAUGUAAUUGCAGAUAUGCUCAGUUUACUGUUAAAAAAUGAUGCUAUAUACUGGGGGGCUUCAUGAAGCGGAGGUGAGCUGCAAUUUGACUGUUUCACGUAUCUCUCGACUUACGUGCAUUGAGUUUUAUCCAUCGAUGGUGAUGAGAUAAUUCAAAUAGCUGUAAUUAGUGGUUUAAAGACACUCACUAAAAGAAUCAUAUAAAAGUUAACCAUCUUAGUGGUUUUCAACUCUUAUAUUUCUUCUAUGAAUAAUGAUGCUACUGUCACUUCCAACAUAGUUUGUUCUUUAUAAUUGCAGAAUGCUCAGCUUUCUGAACCAAAAUGAUGCAUGCCAUUGCCAUUGGACGCCCUCUAAUUGCAGGCUCGCAGCCAGCAUGCUGUUUCAUGCACAGAUUUUGGGAGACACAUCCGAUUCACAUUAUCUCUCUGGCUUGCUAGGUUUUUCCUUCACAAAAAAUUCACUUCAGCUGUAAUUUUUAUAUUCUUGUUGUGCACUGUGAUAAUAUAUGACAACUAAUAUAGACAAAAGAUGGCAGAAGACAAAUGUUUUGGAUCCAAUACUUUAAUUAAUUUAUUAUAUUAUAUCUUAGGCUUCACUUGACAUUGAAGUGUCAUUGUAAAUGUUAUUAAAAAAUUAGUUUAAUAAGACUCUUGGUAAGGGC
RNAcentral lists this unclassified non-coding RNA (2497 nucleotides) under Hevea brasiliensis (rubber tree). Lineage: Eukaryota; Viridiplantae; Streptophyta; Magnoliopsida; Malpighiales; Euphorbiaceae. The record is from RNAcentral.